GACGAACGCUGGCGGCGUGCCUAAUACAUGCAAGUAGGACGCAGUUGCGAACGGGUGAGUAACGCGUAGGUAACUGCCUAUUAGAGGGGGAUAACUAUUGGAAACGAUAGCUCAUACCGCAUACUAGUAGAUGGACCUGCGUUGUAUUAGCUAGUAGGUAGGGUAAUGGCCUACCUAGGCGACGAUACAUAGCCGCCCUGAGAGGGGGAUCGGGCACACUGGGACUGGGACACGGCCCAGACUCCUACUGGAGGGAGCAGGAGGGGAUCUUCGGCAAUGGGGGGAACGCUGACCGAGCAACGCCGCGGGAGUGGAGAAGGUUUUCGGAUCGUAAAGCUCUGUUGUUAAGGAAGCGGUACUUAACCAGAAAGGGACGGCUAACUACGUGCCAGCAGCCGCGGUAAUUC
RNAcentral lists this ribosomal RNA (407 nucleotides) under uncultured bacterium. RNAcentral's name for it is "partial 16S ribosomal RNA". It matches the Rfam family "Bacterial small subunit ribosomal RNA", at positions 28 to 526 of the family's 1533-position model. The record is from RNAcentral.